UCAUUAAGAAGCUAUGGACCAGCACUAGCCUUUUAAGCUAGAGAAAGAGGACAAUACCUCCUCCUUAAUGGU
RNAcentral lists this transfer RNA (72 nucleotides) under Glyphorynchus spirurus (wedge-billed woodcreeper). Its description in RNAcentral is "tRNA-Lys". The record is from RNAcentral. Lineage: Eukaryota; Metazoa; Chordata; Aves; Passeriformes; Furnariidae.